RNAcentral lists this ribosomal RNA (909 nucleotides) under Aspergillus stromatoides. Its description in RNAcentral is "LSU rRNA". It matches the Rfam family "Eukaryotic large subunit ribosomal RNA", at positions 38 to 963 of the family's 3401-position model. Lineage: Eukaryota; Fungi; Ascomycota; Eurotiomycetes; Eurotiales; Aspergillaceae. The record is from RNAcentral. RNAcentral also lists the same sequence under 1 other name.
GCAUAUCAAUAAGCGGAGGAAAAGAAACCAACCGGGAUUACCUCAGUAACGGCGAGUGAAGCGGUAAGAGCUCAAAUUUGAAAUCUGGCCCCUCCGGGGUCCGAGUUGUAAUUUGCAGAGGAUGCUUCGGGUGCAGCCCCCAUCUAAGUUCCCUGGAACGGGACGUCAUAGAGGGUGAGAAUCCCGUAUGGGAUGGGGUGUCUGCGUCCGUGUGAAGCUCCUUCGACGAGUCGAGUUGUUUGGGAAUGCAGCUCUAAAUGGGUGGUAAAUUUCAUCUAAAGCUAAAUAUUGGCCGGAGACCGAUAGCGCACAAGUAGAGUGAUCGAAAGAUGAAAAGCACUUUGAAAAGAGAGUUAAACAGCACGUGAAAUUGUUGAAAGGGAAGCGCUUGCGACCAGACUCGCCUACGGGGUUCAGCCGGCUUUCGGGCCGGUGUACUUCCCCGUGGGCGGGCCAGCGUCGGUUUGGGCGGCCGGUCAAAGGCCUCGGGAAUGUAGCCCCUCUCGGGGGGCCUUAUAGCCCGGGGUGCAAUGCGGCCUGCCUGGACCGAGGAACGCGCUUCGGCACGGACGCUGGCAUAAUGGUCGUAAGCGACCCGUCUUGAAACACGGACCAAGGAGUCUAACAUCUACGCGAGUGUUCGGGUGUCAAACCCGUGCGCGGAGUGAAAGCGAACGGAGGUGGGAGCCCCUUUCGGGGCGCACCAUCGACCGAUCCUGAUGUCUUCGGAUGGAUUUGAGUAAGAGCGUAAAUGUGGGGACCCGAAAGAUGGUGAACUAUGCCUGAAUAGGGCGAAGCCAGAGGAAACUCUGGUGGAGGCUCGCAGCGGUUCUGACGUGCAAAUCGAUCGUCAAAUUUGGGUAUAGGGGCGAAAGACUAAUCGAACCAUCUGGUAGCUGGUUCCUGCGA